UUCCAUCCACCCAAAGUUCCGCCAGCUACUCCUCAACGUCCCAAGCUCCUCCAUUUUCCAGCUCCCCGCCGUCAAGCUCCGGUGUGCCGCUAUUUCCAUCCGCCGGCCGCCGUCAUCCAAUCCCCAAGGUGAGCUCCUAAAUCGGCUUUUCCUUCUCGAUUGGCGGGCCUAGGGGUGUCCUGCGAAGGUGUGGGAGCUGUUGGGGAAGUCGGGGGAAUAGCUUGUGCCGCCUCCGUGCGCCGCCAUGACCGGCCGACGGCCAAGCCGUGGCCGCCCGUGGAGGGGCCGGCUCGGGCCGCCUCCCGGCGAGCUGCGGCUGGGCGCGGGUGCGCCGGGUCUGGGCGCCGCCGCCCCGUCUCGCUCGAGCCGCCGGAGAGCCACCAUCGGCCGGGCUGCCCCGUCCUUCUCCUGCCGGCGUGCGCCCGGCCUUGGUCGGGGGAGGAAGAAGCCCCCUGACCAAGGGGGCCGCCCGUCAGCCGCACAGGAGGGAGGGAAAUAAAAGGAUAAGGGCCGGCAGCCAUUUUGGGCCGAGGAAAAGGCGCCGGCCCAGCUAAGCGCGCGCGGCAUAGAGAAGAAGGGGAAGGCCGGUGGGCCGUUUAUUGGCUUAAAGAAAGAAAUGGGCCAUGAAGCCCAGGUUGGAGUGGGAGAGGAAAAGAAGAGGGCCAGCUACCGUCUUGGGCCGGGGGAAAGCGCGGGCCCAGCUAGCCGCUCGGUGUAAAGGAGGAAGGGAGAUCCGGUGGGCUGUCCGAGGGAUUUGAAAGGAAAAUGGACCGUGCGGCCCAGGUGGAGUGCAAAAGAAGAAAGAAAGGGGGGAAAGGUGGGCCGGCGGGUGAGAGGGAGACCCUGGGCCGGAUUAGUAGGCCGAGUAUCAAAGGGAGAAAAGAAAUAAAAGGUGGGCCGGCCGGGGUUGAGAAAAAAAAAAGAGAGAGAAGGCUGCCGCAAAAGGCCACGCAUGGAAGGUUAAGUUGACGGGCCACCUUUUGGCCCGAGGAAGGGUGCCGACCGUGGGCCCCACGUGUUAGUGAAGAAAAGAAGAAGAAGAAUAGGAGACCGGAUGGGCCCUAGGUGGAAGUGAUAGUGGGUAGAAGAAGGUUGGGUAAGAAAAGUUUGGGCCGGGGGUUUUUAUUAAAUCUUAGGUUUUCUUUUAUUAGAUAAAUAGAUUAAAUGCUGCUUUCACCAUUUAAUUCACAGGAAAUUCUAGAAGUGCCCAAAAUUAGUGAAACCAAUUUUAUUAGGGUUGUUUUAUUUUCCGUUAUGCAUUAAAAUUCUUAAACCCUAGGAAAAAUAAUAAAAAUUUAGGUAUUUAUUUAAUGCCUUUUUAUGUAAGGUAUUUAAAUAAAUGCUUAAACUUUAUUAAAUGUAUAAAACUUGAAAAUGCUUUAUUAUCCACAAAUUAUUAGUAAUUCAUAGGAAUUAGGUUUUUGAGAUUAGAAAGUUAUCAUAAUGCUUUUAAAAAAAAUAAAUAAAAAGGUCUAAGAUAGGAUUAGUAAAGGAAAUAAAAAUGGUGGGUUAAUCUUUAGGGUUUUUGUGUGUUGGCUUGCAACUUUAUCAUGAUAAAUUGUAUAGUCCUUGUUGGAUUGCAACUUUAUCAUGAAGGAAAGUUGUAUAGUCUUGUAUUCAAAAGUUUGCAUCUCUAACUCUUGCAUAUACUGAAUCGUAGACGUCACAACUCCUGAAGUGGAAUUCAUGGAAUUCAGCUGGAGAUGGACAGCGUUCGCGAAGUGUGGAAUGCCUCUUUUAAUAAAGAAGUUUUCCGAAGAACUAACCUUUGUUGAUCCCAGGCAAGCCCCGGUGCAUUUAUACCUAUCUAUUUUAGAGUCGUUAUUUCAUGUGACUAGUUAUAGAUUAUUGUCUAUUGUAUGCACUAAGUCUAGGAGUUGAAUGAAACCUAUUCUUGUGUAUGAUCAUGCCUUGUUUUAAGGACAUCUUUGCCACUUGUUCAAAUCUUAGAAACUACCCAAGUCUAGAAGUGCUUACUUGCUUACAUGAUCGGUUUACCAACCUUAAGGAAAACUCUUAAGUCAUACAUGUUGCUUAUGAAGGACAGUUUGGAAUAUGGAAAGGGACAGAAGCUAGAGAUGUAGUUCUGUCUGUUAGAUUAAUCUGGUUAAGGACCGAUCCGUGUCUUAACCAUUGAUCAAGUGAUAACCUCUGAUCACUUACUGGGUAUGGGACCAGUAAAGCCCAGUAGAUUAGUAAAUUCUAUGAUCAGGAAUGCUUCGUACCCGCAUUUGACGUGCUGGAGAUUGGCAGGGGUGUAGCCUGAAACUCACAUGGAGAUCAGGCCAGACGUGGGGUCCCAUGUGGGGGUGCAUCCCUGGAUCCGGGUAGUUGUAUUCCUAAUCAUUGACUUUGCUAAUCGAGAGGUUGUUAGUACGACCUGUACAGUCGUAUAUAGCUGGUGAUCAGGGUAUUCUCCUACAGGAUGUAAUUAGAUCCGGAUCGCCGCAAUUCUCGGUUAUGAAUGCACUUGAUCGCUGUUAAGCUUCGUAGUAUGAACUCAUGCGAUAUAAAAUCUCAUGUUGCCAAGUACUGUAUGAUUUAACAGCUGUGGUUGUUUUUACUUCUGCUAUUAUUUAGAAUGGUUAGGUAAUAACUUAACCCAAAUAAAAGAUAAAAGUAAGGUGUCACUUGUAGUAAGCUUUUCGGCAAAAAUUGCAUUAGCCAAGUACACCAAAAAGCUAAGCAUACUCUUCCAAAGAAAGCUAUUAUAUUGGUUAGUCGGGUAAGACUUGCUGAGUACUUCGUACUCAGGGGAUCCCUUGUUGUUGUUUUCAGAAACCCAGCAGGGACUCACCGAAGAGGAAGCUCUGAAGAUCUAGAGUAUCUUAUGAGUCUCAUGAUACUCUAGAAUAAAACUUAAAUGUUUGCUUUUCUUCCGGACUGGUUCAUAUUUUAAAUUCUUAGAAACACACUAACCUGCACUAUUAAGUUUGUUUCAAACUAUGGUUGUAAUAUAUCGUACCUUGGUUAUGUCUUUAAAAAUGUAAUAUUUGUUGAUAUUAUCCCAUCGCGGAUAUUAUCCUGAUGUAUGGCUAUGAAACACGUCGUGGAUCCUUCGAGGAGUCCUAGGGACACUCGACGGACUACCAGACUUAUGCUGUUUUAG
This 3109-nucleotide long non-coding RNA is filed under the name Setaria italica (foxtail millet). Its description in RNAcentral is "long non-coding RNA (SITA_LNC003007)". Lineage: Eukaryota; Viridiplantae; Streptophyta; Magnoliopsida; Poales; Poaceae. The record is from RNAcentral.